AUACUUCCCUGGUAGGGGAGAGUUGAUGACCACAGAGGUGGUUUUCCAGGAUGAGGUUUAUUGAUUACACUUGGAUGUGCUGACUUCUGCAAUUUUCCCAAAUGAGGAAAAUUCUACAUAGUCUUUGAUAC
This 131-nucleotide small nuclear RNA is filed under the name Nannospalax galili (Upper Galilee mountains blind mole rat). RNAcentral's name for it is "U1 spliceosomal RNA (ENSNGAG00000009149.1)". It matches the Rfam family "U1 spliceosomal RNA", at positions 1 to 137 of the family's 166-position model. From Rfam's summary of the family: U1 is a small nuclear RNA (snRNA) component of the spliceosome (involved in pre-mRNA splicing). Its 5' end forms complementary base pairs with the 5' splice junction, thus defining the 5' donor site of an intron. Lineage: Eukaryota; Metazoa; Chordata; Mammalia; Rodentia; Spalacidae. The record is from RNAcentral.